RNAcentral lists this ribosomal RNA (253 nucleotides) under uncultured bacterium. RNAcentral describes it as "partial 16S ribosomal RNA". It matches the Rfam family "Bacterial small subunit ribosomal RNA", at positions 524 to 776 of the family's 1533-position model. The record is from RNAcentral.
UACGGAGGGUGCGAGCGUUGUCCGGAAUCACUGGGCGUAAAGGGCGCGUAGGUGGCGCGAGGAGUCUGUGGUGAAAGCCCGAGGCUCAACUUCGGGUCGGCCGCGGAUACUCUCGUGCUGGAGGGUGGUAGAGGCCAAUGGAAUUCCGGGUGUAGCGGUGGAAUGCGUAGAGAUCCGGAAGAACACCGGUGGCGAAGGCGGUCUGCUGGGCCAAGACUGACGCUGAGGCGCGACAGCGUGGGGAGCAAACAGG